RNAcentral lists this ribosomal RNA (253 nucleotides) under uncultured bacterium. RNAcentral's name for it is "partial 16S ribosomal RNA". It matches the Rfam family "Bacterial small subunit ribosomal RNA", at positions 524 to 776 of the family's 1533-position model. The record is from RNAcentral.
UACGUAGGGUGCAAGCGUUGUCCGGAAUUAUUGGGCGUAAAGAGCUCGUAGGCGGUCUGUCGCGUCGGCUGUGAAAACCUGGGGCUUAACUCCGGGCUUGCAGCCGAUACGGGCAGACUAGAGUUCGGUAGGGGAGACUGGAAUUCCUGGUGUAGCGGUGAAAUGCGCAGAUAUCAGGAGGAACACCGGUGGCGAAGGCGGCAUCCUGGACCGGUAUUGACGCUGAGGCGCGAAAGCCAGGGGAGCAAACGGG